AGAGUUUGAUCAUGGCUCAGGAUGAANNCUAGCGGCAGGCUUAACACAUGCAAGUCGAGGGGUAUAGGUUUUCGGACCUAGAGACCGGCGCACGGGUGCGUAACGCGUAUGCAAUCUACCUUUUACAGAGGGAUAGCCCAGAGAAAUUUGGAUUAAUACCUCAUAGUAUUAUUGAAUGGCAUCAUUUAAUAAUUAAAGUCACAACGGUAAAAGAUGAGCAUGCGUCCCAUUAGCUUGUUGGUAAGGUAACGGCUUACCAAGGCAACGAUGGGUAGGGGUCCUGAGAGGGAGAUCCCCCACACUGGUACUGAGACACGGACCAGACUCCUACGGGAGGCAGCAGUGAGGAAUAUUGGUCAAUGGGCGCAAGCCUGAACCAGCCAUGCCGCGUGCAGGAUGACGGUCCUAUGGAUUGUAAACUGCUUUUGUACAGGAAGAAACAGUUCUACGUGUAGAACCUUGACGGUACUGUAAGAAUAAGGAUCGGCUAACUCCGUGCCAGCAGCCGCGGUAAUACGGAGGAUCCAAGCGUUAUCCGGAAUCAUUGGGUUUAAAGGGUCCGUAGGCGGUUUUGUAAGUCAGUGGUGAAAGCCCAUCGCUCAACGGUGGAACGGCCAUUGAUACUGCAAGACUUGAAUUAUUAGGAAGUAACUAGAAUAUGUAGUGUAGCGGUGAAAUGCUUAGAUAUUACAUGGAAUACCAAUUGCGAAGGCAGGUUACUACUAAUGGAUUGACGCUGAUGGACGAAAGCGUGGGGAGCGAACAGGAUUAGAUACCCCAGUAGUCC
This 787-nucleotide ribosomal RNA is filed under the name uncultured bacterium. Its description in RNAcentral is "bacterial SSU rRNA". It matches the Rfam family "Bacterial small subunit ribosomal RNA", at positions 8 to 796 of the family's 1533-position model. The record is from RNAcentral.